GAGAUAGAGGAGUGCUCGAAAGAGAGCCGUAACACAGGUGCUGCAUGGCUGUCGUCAGCUCGUGUCGUGAGAUGUUGGGUUAAGUCCCGCAACGAGCGCAACCCUUGCCAUUAGUUGCUACGAAAGGGCACUCUAAUGGGACUGCCGGUGACAAACCGGAGGAAGGUGGGGAUGACGUCAAGUCCUCAUGGCCCUUAUAGGUGGGGCUACACACGUCAUACAAUGGCUGGUACAGAGGGUUGCCAACCCGCGAGGGGGAGCCAAUCCCAUAAAGCCAGUCGUAGUCCGGAUCGCAAUCUGCAACUCGACUGCGUGAAGUCGGAAUCGCUAGUAAUCGCGGAUCAGAAUGUCGCGGUGAAUACGUUCCCGGGUCUUGUACACACCGCCCGUCACACCAUGGGAGCGGGUUCUGCCAGAAGUAGUUAGCCUAACCGCAAGGAGGGCGAUUACCACGGCAGGGUUCGUGACUGGGGUGAAGUCG
This 481-nucleotide ribosomal RNA is filed under the name uncultured Comamonadaceae bacterium. RNAcentral describes it as "bacterial SSU rRNA". It matches the Rfam family "Bacterial small subunit ribosomal RNA", at positions 1003 to 1488 of the family's 1533-position model. The record is from RNAcentral. Lineage: Bacteria; Pseudomonadati; Pseudomonadota; Betaproteobacteria; Burkholderiales; Comamonadaceae.